UUGACGGCAACGUUAGGGAGU
RNAcentral lists this non-coding RNA (21 nucleotides) under Arabidopsis thaliana (thale cress). Lineage: Eukaryota; Viridiplantae; Streptophyta; Magnoliopsida; Brassicales; Brassicaceae. The record is from RNAcentral.